RNAcentral lists this long non-coding RNA (5970 nucleotides) under Olea europaea (common olive). RNAcentral's name for it is "long non-coding RNA (OEUR_LNC011052)". Lineage: Eukaryota; Viridiplantae; Streptophyta; Magnoliopsida; Lamiales; Oleaceae. The record is from RNAcentral.
AUAUAUAUGACACAAUAUCAUGCGUAUAUCAAGUGUCUAUAUACAUAAUAAACAUGCAUAGCUUAUUAGAAAUUUGUCACAUGGCACAAAGGAGCCAAGAACUGAAUUGUUGAUCUAGGCCAAUAUCUGGAGAUUGUAUGUGCAUGAUCAUUACAAUCAGAUAAGAUAUGAAAGGUUUCAGUUCUUCAUGCUUUUAGUAGUCUCAGUGUAAUUAUAUCAUUUUAAUCGACACUUACUAGGUUCCUGUGACUUUACUGGUGCUUGCUUCUGUUCCUGUGCCCUCAACAAUUCUUGCCAAACCGAAGUAUGAAAUUUUGGGGUUCAUCUCUUCGUCUAACAGAAUGUUGCUUGUUUUCAAAUCUCUAUGAAUUAUCCUCAACCUUGAAUCUUGAUGAAGAUAAAGAACCCCUCUUGCUAUCCCCAAGAUGAUGUCAAUAACACCCCCUUCAUGUUGAGUGUGUGCCGAUGGUUCAUGCACCUUAACCGCCGAGAAUGGUACACAGAAUUCGUACACGUAGGUCACUUAGCAAAAUUUGGUUGAAAGAUAAAAAUAAAAAAUUUGAACCACACAGAUGCUGCCCGUAAAAAUUUUGUGAAACAAAAUCUGUACACUUAAUAUUUUUCUUUGGAAAAAACCCCUUGGACGGGGAAACUGCCAUGGUGCAGUUAUAGGGCCAAUUUGACAGUCCCGUAAUUGGGUGUUUUUUCAUUUAUUUUUUAAACUUUUAAUAGAAAAUUGCCAUUUGUAAUCUAGAAAAAAAAAAUUAUGUCAUUAAACCUAUUUGUGUAGCACAGUUGUAUAAAUUUUGAGCACGUUUAACUUAACUUAAAAAGGAUAUUAUCUAAUUGUAAUAUUCAAUAUCAUACAAACAUUACCCAACUUAUUUAAUUAAAUUAUUGUUGUUUAUUUUAUUAUUUUACGUUUAAAUUAUUUUGCUAACAUUAUUUUAGUUUUUUGUCUAAUAAUAGGAUUUUACUAUUCAAAAGAGAUAAUUUCAUGUUUCAAAUUGAUAAAAAGAUAAUUUUGUCAUAGGAUUUUCUUAUUUAAAAAAGAUAUACAAUUUCACGUUUUAAAUUAAGAGAGCUUUUCCAAUUUCGUGAUUCGAAUUAAUAUUAUACUAAAUGAAUGAUUUGUCAUUUUCAUUCCAACAUUAUUGAAACAAACAAAAUUUGCAGGUACUUUAAUUUCAAUGAAGUGGUUAUAAUUUAUUUUAUAAAUUAAUUAAUUAAUUUGGUCAUUAUCUGGUAAUUUGGGGGUAAUGGAAGGACAAAACAUGGAAUUGUCAAUUAAAGUGAAUUUUCAUUUAUGCAAACAAAACCCUAAACCACUGAUAAAGAGAGAGAAAGAAUGGGGGAAAAAAGAAGAAAAGGGAAAGAAAAAAGAAGGAAGGAGAAGGGAAAACAUAGCGCUGUCGUCCUUCUCAACCCUCUCGAAGGUGACUUUAGGUUUAUAGAGAUCAAAAAGGGGAAAGGGGAAAAAUGAAGAAGAAGAAAGAAGAAGCGAAAAGGGUGAAGUGUUCGAUUAAAACUUGGAGGAUCCAAUACAUAUCUCAUACCUAUAUACAUGUCGUAUCAUGUCCAACACGGGUACUCCUACUAUUUUGAAGAGUUCAAGCAUUGGAGGCUAUAAUGCUGUCAGCUCCUUGAGAAUGAUCAAUGUUUAUAGAGAAACAUAGGAAAAACAACAUAAAGAGAAUAAACCAACAAGUAUUCUUCCGAAUCAUAGCUGCAAAAGAUGUGUGUGUGUGAGAGAGAGAGAGAGAGAGAGUGAGUGAAACAAGAAGCCACUGUUUGGUGGUCAUUAUUUCCAUUUUAAAGAGUUUUGAAUAAUAUUUUUAGUUAAAUGUAUAGUUAAAAAUAAGAAAAAAAAAUUGGAUUUACAUACAGAAUAUUUUAUUUUGUAAAUCUCAGGUAAAAAAUGAUCCUGUUAAAAAAAAGGGGGGGGUUUUAAAACAAUGGGAAUCAAACGGAGGCAAGGUGCUUUUUGUCAAGUGCGUGCUAUUUAUGGGAGAAAGGCCAUUCACUUAUAUUUUUCCCGAUCUACAAAUGAUGCUGACCUGCUUUUUACACCAUGAAGGUUCCUGUGGGGUAGAAAGAUUUGAUUGGAGUUGGACUUGUGAAUACAUAGGUAGGCCAACGGACAGUGAUUUAAUCAACUUGAUUGGAGAAUGUCAAAUUAUGUUGUGGAUCAAUACAUUUUGAGCAAAAUAGUUAUUCCAUUAAUCAGUAUGGCCACAACAAAGUGCGGUACAUUCAACCCAAUAUUCAGUGUGAAAUGGAGCCUUCAAAUAAAGCUAGAUAGUGGGCUAUAGAAUUCCUCUCGCUAGCAACAUGUACCAUCUCAAUCACCAGUAUCAUCUAAUACAAAGCUACUGCCACCAUGAAUAAAUCACUUGAUUGGAGAAUGUCAAAUUUUGUUGUGGAUCAAUACAUUUUGAGCAAAAUAGUAUUCCAUUAAUCAGUAUGGCCACAACAAAGUGAGGUACAUUCAUCCGAAUAUUCAAUGUGAAAUGGAGCCUACAAAGGAAGCUAGAUAGUGGGCUAUGGAAAUCCUAUUGCUAGGAAUAUAGCAACAUGUACCAUCUCAAUCACCAAUAUCAUCUAAUACUAAGCUAUUGCCACCAUGAAACUGUGUCUUACAGCGAACAUCAGACCAGCUUGGAGUGCCAUAGAUUCAGCUACAGCAGACGAGAACCCCACUCCAUGCAAGAAACAUGAGCAGCUAUGGUCUCAAAUCACAGAAAAACUAGGCUAAGUGUCUUAAUCUUCAUUCACUAGAACCUCCAACGUCGGAUGAAAAUUAUAGCUGUCUUGCUUUGCAUUAGGUCUUCGGGUGCAGGGAUGGAACCACACAUUUUCUACUGUGGGGUCAAAAAUUAAAUAUGCUCGAACCGCACUUCAAGAAUGACAGGCUUCAGUCAUUGGCGCUCAAGCGUCUUCUUCUAGCCUUACCUGAUGUCCGAAGUUUCUAUCAUGUCAAAGCAUACCUAAAUUUUCGAAACACUAAAAAUGAAUAAAUACACAAAAAUAUAAGUCGGCAAAUAAACUAGAAUAAGAAAUUUCCCCAAAAAAGGGGAGAUCACCUGAUAGCUUUCAAUUACAUGAAUAAAAACGAACAUGUUUAUCAUUGCAACAAGUUAGUUGGGUUGAAUUACUUAUUCGCUCAAAGAUUCUUAUAAUUUACUUCACUUAAAUUAUUAUCAUAUUUUAUUAAUAUGAAGGAUAUAUAUAUAUAUAUAUAUGAAACCAAAGGGAUAAGAUGAAUAAAACGUAUAAUUACCAACAUAUAUGUACAUGGACGUGUAUAGAAGUAUGAAAUCAAAGGGAGAACAUCAAGAAAACAUAUACCUAUAUAUAUACGUAUAUAUUUACAUACAUGUGUGUGCACAGAAACAUGAAAUCAAUUUUUUACAUUAGGGACAUCACAGCUGCAGAAAAAAGAAAUAAUCAAAAUUAAGUUGAAAUUAGGCAAAUGGAUGGCAGAAAGUGAACAAAAGCAAAGAUCAAGAUGAAAAUGGUGAGUUUGAUAUCCUUGCAACUUGGAUAUACUUGUUUAUGGAAUUUUUUUCAAAUAUAUACCUUCAAUAACCAUAAAUUAUGCAACUACUGUGUAUAGAUUGAAGAAAAAAAUAAAUAAAUAAAAUUAUGGGGUCACUUGACCCCAUAUGAUCCCAUGUGGGUCCGUCCAUGUUAGGGUGGUGCAAUGCAGCUACUUGCCGGUCAGCAAAGGAACGAUCAUCAGGUCGUACAUGGAAGACAAAAAGUUUUUUUAAUUUUCUAACAAAAAACUCUAAAAAGUCUUCCACAAGCCACAAAUAUAUAACUCUAGUCAAGAGGAAUCUAGGAUUUUUGUUAAAGAUGACUUAAAUAAACCCAAAAAAAAAAAAUCAAUUUAAUUAAAUUUAUAUAUAAAUAAGGCACAAGGCAACAACGAUUCAAUAAGUUUAUUUAAAUAUAAGCUAUUAUCAAUAGCAAUUACCUAAUAAAUAAAAAUAUGAUGACAAACGAAGUACUUACGAAUUGUUGUUUGACAUACUAUUAUCAAUGGAAUACAAUGAAAGAGUUAAAAAUUUUCAAAUUCCUGAUUUUUAUUUUUUUAUUAUUAUGUGAAAAUAAAUUCAGAAAAUCAAAAAAGACAACUAUUUUUUUUUAAAUUACUCCCCUUCAAAGAAAAAUAAGAUUCUAUAUCUUUCUUACACUCCACCCAAUCAAAGGUAACAAUCACCUUUUGCACGUUCAUAUCUGUCAAUGUUAUUCACCCUUAGUAAAUAUAUAUAGAAACAAUUACCAAAAUAAUAUUCGCGUUGUUUAUCUCUUUUUAGUAUUAUUUUCCUGUAAAUUUGAUUGCAUAACCAUAAAAAUAUGAUGAUUUUCUUUAUAAAUUUUCAAUUCAAUAAUUAAAAUUUAAAAACGAUAAGAAUAAUUUGAUUUGAGUCAAAUUCUAAUAGCGUGCAAUCUUGUCGCACCUGGCCAACCUUCAACAAAAUACUGGUGAAACGAGAUAACAGACUAUGCCCAGUUUGUUUGUGAUUAAAAUCUAAAUUUUAAUCUAAAUCAAAGUCAACAAUUAAUUUCAACCAUGUAUUUCAUAGAAUCCACAACUUUUCAACCAUACAUUCCAUCAAUUUUUAUCAAAAGCUACUAAAAAUUUGAUUUUUAAUCCUAAUCAAUGAGGGGCUAUGUAUGUCUUCAGGAUUUUCACCUAAGAGGCGUGGACAGGCCUAGGGAUCCAUUAAUAUCCUAUUCAACAUCUGAUGUAACCAUUGUGUAUAUAUAAAUGUACAAGUAGAGUUCAGUAGUUGGAAGAUUAAAAUAUAGCAGAACAACAUACUCCAUUAUUUCUAGCAAUGGCAUUACAUAACAGUUUGUUUUCAUAUACAAUUUAUUUUAUUCAUUACUAAUAGAAUAUUUGUAUAUGACUCUUACCAAUACACCAGAAGUAAAAUAACAUAAAAGAGAUGUAAAAUGAGUGUAUCAGAGAUUGCAGUCUUACUCGGCAUAGUUCUGCAUACACCAGUUUCUAGAGGAUAUUAAGGAAGUAAUUGGUGCAAAUUUCGGUUGAACAUACAAACAAACAACACUAAUGCACGGAAAUAAGCAAAUUCCUCAUCUCCCUUUUGGAUCAGACAUUGUCAAUUCAUUGGAAAUUGAAUCCGGUUUAUUCGAGGAUGAGGAUGAUGUGCUAACAACACGUUUUCUCAUUACAAAAGCUGGUUGAUUGGGAACGGGAACAACUACAGUUUCGCCACUAAGCAUUAGGACUACAUUUAACAUAGUGGGACGAUCACUAGGAUCUUCUUCCACGUACAAAAGUCCAACAUUAAUGCACUUUAUAACUUCAGAUUUCUCACAAGAUUCAAGCAGUAUUGGGUCCACUAGAUCGAGUGCCUUGUUUUCACUCCACAAUCUCCAUACCUGCAGGAAUAGCUUCAAAAUAUUUUAGACUAUGAAUUGGAUAAAAUCUUGCAUAUAAAUGGAGGAAUUUAUCUACUUACAUAACCCAAGAGAUUCAAGUCUUCCGAGGAUUGGUAAAAUCCGGUGUUUUUCUUUCCCGUGACUAUCUCGAGUACAACAACCCCAAAACUAAAUACAUCUGACUUUAUAGAGAAUAUUCCAUCUGAUGCAUACUCCGGAGACAUAUAACCACUUGAUCAAGGUAAAUAGAAGUUAGUGUGUGUGUAUAUAUAUAUAUGACACAAUAUCAUGCGUAUAUCAAGUGUCUAUAUACAUAAUAAACAUGCAUAGCUUAUUAGAAAUUUGUCACAUGGCACAAAGGAGCCAAGAACUGAAUUGUUGAUCUAGGCCAAUAUCUGGAGAUUGUAUGUGCAUGAUCAUUACAAUCAGAUAAGAUAUGAAAGGUUUCAGUUCUUCAUGCUUUUAGUAGUCUCAGUGUAAUUAUAUCAUUUUAAUCGACACUUACUAGGUUCCUGUGACUUUACUGGUGCUUGCUUCUGUUCCUGUGCCCUCAAC